RNAcentral lists this ribosomal RNA (253 nucleotides) under uncultured bacterium. RNAcentral's name for it is "partial 16S ribosomal RNA". It matches the Rfam family "Bacterial small subunit ribosomal RNA", at positions 524 to 776 of the family's 1533-position model. The record is from RNAcentral.
UACGUAGGGGGCAAGCGUUAUCUGGAUUUACUGGGUGUAAAGGGAGCGUAGACGGCGAUGCAAGUCUGAAGUGAAAGGCGGGGGCCCAACCCCCGGACUGCUUUGGAAACUGUAUAGCUGGAGUGCAGGAGAGGUAAGUGGAAUUCCUAGUGUAGCGGUGAAAUGCGUAGAUAUUAGGAGGAACACCAGUGGCGAAGGCGGCUUACUGGACUGUAACUGACGUUGAGGCUCGAAAGCGUGGGGAGCAAACAGG